Molecule: ribosomal RNA, 370 nt
Filed under: marine bacterium SIMO-4493
Lineage: Bacteria
Description: bacterial SSU rRNA
Rfam family: Bacterial small subunit ribosomal RNA
Source: RNAcentral
GUAACAGGAAUUAGCUUGCUAAUUUGCUGACGAGCGGCGGACGGGUGAGUAACGCGUAGGAAUCUGCCUGGUAGUGGGGGACAACAUGUGGAAACGCAUGCUAAUACCGCAUACGCCCUACGGGGGAAAGGAGGGGAUCUUCGGACCUUUCGCUAUCAGAUGAGCCUGCGUGAGAUUAGCUAGUUGGUGGGGUAAAGGCUCACCAAGGCGACGAUCUCUAGCUGGUCUGAGAGGAUGAUCAGCCACACUGGGACUGAGACGCGGCCCACACUCCUACUGGAGGCAGCAGUGGGGAAUAUUGCCCAAUGGGCGCAGGACCGAGCCAGCAAUGCCUCGUGAGUGUUGAAUGCUGCGGGGUUAAAAAGCACAU